Carassius auratus (goldfish) is the source of this 747-nucleotide long non-coding RNA. RefSeq lists it as uncharacterized. The record is from RefSeq and is a predicted model, not a curated record. The transcript is spliced from 3 exons. Lineage: Eukaryota; Metazoa; Chordata; Actinopteri; Cypriniformes; Cyprinidae.
ACCAUUUUUGUAUUGAAUUGCCAUACCGUGAUGUAAGCGUUUGCUGCUACCGCCCACCCAUAGAGCGCUUGAUAGAUUUUCGGUGAGUCACUUUCAGUAACUUGGCUGAUGCAUAAAGAUGUGGAUGAAUUCAUGUUUGAAUUUCAGUUUUCCCCCUUUCCUGUAUCCGAUUGUCUUUACUCCCUUUAGUUGGCGAAAGUCCGAUAUUUUGCCUUUAUCGAAAAGAGAGGAGGAUGAGCAAGAGGAAGGGAUGUCAGAAGCAAUAGAAGAUGAAGAUUUCUUUCUGAGACACCAGAGUUAUGAGCGUAGAGAGAAACUCUGCAGCUCCUGCUGGGAUCAGGACAAAAGAAACAGGAUCAGGUCAUCCAGGAAAAUCUGCUCUUCUGUAUCUGUGAGAGACCAUCGUGCUCACUGUUUCCCACCUGUACAUUCUCCCGUUCCCUUCACCUAGACCUGCAGUUCCUCUGAAGAUUCAUCAGAAAGAUGUGAGAUUGAGAAGUGAGAAUGGCUCAAAAUAAGAUGUAUCUGUCUAACUGAAUUAGCUUUUUCAUCAAGCAUUUCAAAUCAGUGUCAUAUUUCUUCACUACCUUUAUCUUGUGGGAGCUUGAUUCAUCUAGAUGUUUCUAAUAAAUCUUAAUAUAACUAGAUAACUCCCUCUAGUCUAUAAAGUGCCAUACCUCCCUCUAUUGGACAUACUUGGAAUAACAUGCACAUACUACAGUGACAUUUUGCACAUAUUCAGCAAGC